Molecule: ribosomal RNA, 823 nt
Filed under: uncultured Gammaproteobacteria bacterium
Lineage: Bacteria; Pseudomonadati; Pseudomonadota; Gammaproteobacteria
Description: bacterial SSU rRNA
Rfam family: Bacterial small subunit ribosomal RNA
Source: RNAcentral
AGCUUGCUACUUGACCUAGCGGCGGACGGGUGAGUAAUGCUUAGGAAUCUGCCUAUUAGUGGGGGACAACAUCUCGAAAGGGAUGCUAAUACCGCAUACGUCCUACGGGAGAAAGCAGGGGACCUUCGGGCCUUGCGCUAAUAGAUGAGCCUAAGUCGGAUUAGCUAGUUGGUGGGGUAAAGGCCUACCAAGGCGACGAUCUGUAGCGGGUCUGAGAGGAUGAUCCGCCACACUGGGACUGAGACACGGCCCAGACUCCUACGGGAGGCAGCAGUGGGGAAUAUUGGACAAUGGGGGGAACCCUGAUCCAGCCAUGCCGCGUGUGUGAAGAAGGCCUUUUGGUUGUAAAGCACUUUAAGCGAGGAGGAGGCUACCGAGAUUAAUACUCUUGGAUAGUGGACGUUACUCGCAGAAUAAGCACCGGCUAACUCUGUGCCAGCAGCCGCGGUAAUACAGAGGGUGCAAGCGUUAAUCGGAUUUACUGGGCGUAAAGCGCGCGUAGGUGGCCAAUUAAGUCAAAUGUGAAAUCCCCGAGCUUAACUUGGGAAUUGCAUUCGAUACUGGUUGGCUAGAGUAUGGGAGAGGAUGGUAGAAUUCCAGGUGUAGCGGUGAAAUGCGUAGAGAUCUGGAGGAAUACCGAUGGCGAAGGCAGCCAUCUGGCCUAAUACUGACACUGAGGUGCGAAAGCAUGGGGAGCAAACAGGAUUAGAUACCCUGGUAGUCCAUGCCGUAAACGAUGUCUACUAGCCGUUGGGGCCUUUGAGGCUUUAGUGGCGCAGCUAACACGAUAAGUAGACCGCCUGGGGAGUACGUCGCAAGACUA